Long non-coding RNA from Sander lucioperca (pikeperch), 2738 nucleotides. RefSeq lists it as uncharacterized. NCBI's taxonomy places the organism in Eukaryota, Metazoa, Chordata, Actinopteri, Perciformes, Percidae. The record is from RefSeq and is a predicted model, not a curated record. The transcript has 2 exons.
AUAUAUAUAUAUAUAUAUAUAUAUAUGGAUUAAAGAAUUGUAACAGAGUAGCAGAAGACUAUACAGUGUGUUGGUUUCGUAAUCCAGUUCAUUGAAAUUAAACAAUGACUAUGAGGUUAAACUUUUAGCUGUAAUUUGAGGGGUUUUGCAUCCAUACUGGGUGAUUGUGAUCAUCCCCUUAGUUAAUAGGUCUGUAAGCCUGCCUUAAAUUUAAAAACUGGCAGAAUUUUUUGACCCACAGAAAUUGCAACCAUCCUCACUUCUUGCUUGUUUCUGAGACUUUUUGCCUGAAGUCUGGUCUCUAGCAAGUACAACAUGCUCAUUCAGUCAGGUGACUGACUCAGCCAGUCACUAUUUGGCCCUAAAAACUCCUUGUUUGCUUUGCCUCUAUGUUCAGCAUCAUUGUCCUCAUGCGUUGGCUUUAAAUUGGGGUAAUAUGUAUGCAAAAAAAAAAGAUGCUAGUCAGCACUUUAACUUUAUAAUCAUUGUUGAAUUUUAAAUCCAAUGUGCUGGGGGAGCGAUAAAACAAUAGAAAUUUGUCACAGAUUAAAUAUUGUCAGGCUGUGCUGUAUUGGAACAUCACUGAGGUCAGAUAUUGUAUGAAACAUUUUGUCUCCAUAAUUAUAUUAUUUAUUGCGUGAAAAUGUUUGAUUAGAGGAGUAAGGAACAUUUUGAAUUGUAAAUGAUCUUGUCAACAUAUAGAGAACAGAUUUUAACAUCUAAUGAAAUUGUAAAAAAGCACAAACAGAAAUGGGAAUGUGAACACGGCAAUAUAUUAUGUAGGAGGUUGAAAGAAUACUAUUGAACCAGAAAAAGAACAUGGGGAGAAAACUUUUAAUAUUUAAACAUUGUAGUGUAUAUGAUUAAUUUAAAGUGUUCUGUAUGACUUUUAUUGUGGCCACACCUGUGCAGCUGGUUAACACAAUCACUGUGUCCCACUUUCGUACUACAUACUGUAUACACUGUUUACUAAUGUUAAUAGUUUGAAAACAUCUCAUAUAACCAGCAAACAAAAUGCUUCAUGCAAGUGGGACGCAAAAGACUGGCAGUAGGCCUGACUUGAUAUUUUUUGAAUCACAUCAUAGGACAGAACUGAAAUGCUGGAUUUGAGCCUUACUUAUCCUACAGUCCAUUUACCGUCUGUGACCUGAGAGAAAACACCUGUGGUUGUUUGUUUUUUUCAUCAGUUGUCCUCGUAAAGGUUGCCAGCUGAACAUUUUCCCAAAAAACAUCUGAGUCGUGUAGCAGCAUGAUUAUAUGCUUCUCUUGCUGCUGUGAAUAAUUUGGAUUUACAGCAAUCAGCAAGUUCAAACCAGCCGUCAGAAUGUAGCCUGUCGCUGUAGUGAGACAACAGUGGGUAGUCUUCUCAACAUUCAGUUUAAGUGCCUCUUUAAGUUGAGUUGUAGAUUCAUAACAAACUUUGUUGCUGUCUCAACAUCCUUUGGACCUAUUUUCUUUGAAUGUCAACUGCUGUAUAGCAACGUUUUCUGAAUUAUCCUUAAACGGCUGCUCUUCCUUCUAAACAGUUUGGCCAAUACUUAAUUUUCUGUCUUAUCAAUCUUUCUGUAUUGAAGCAUAGAUGAGGAAGGUUUUUUUUUUUUUAAACCUCAUUUUUCAGAUUUUUCUCAUUUGCUGAGGAAAUGUUUCCUAUAAGGUAACAGAAUCGCUGACUCACUCUAAAUGCUACCUGCUUGUCUAUAUCACCCCUCCAUCUGUGCAUAUAGACACAGUUGAGUCAUGUUAUUAAUGAACUGUAUCAGGAACUAGAUUGUUGACACAAACGCACACAGUGCGAGUCAUAGAGCUGAUGAGACUGAGCACGUAGGACUGUAUCCAAGGGCUUAUUUUUAGCUCUCACUGUCCGUGCUGCUUUGAUCCAAGAAACUGUACAAACUCAUGGCAUGUGUGACAGCUUCUUAAUCUUCACUGACUGAAGCUAAAGUGACCUUAAACUGAGUCUUUUUUUUCUACUGUCAAUGUUUUAAAAGAUGCUAAGUGUACGUUCAAACUGUAAAUUAUAUAAUGUAGAAAAAGACCAAAACCAUUUGACACCAACCUCUCCAUGCUGUAUGACUUGUAUGUCUGGUCUGUAGGCAUAUGUAACUGUAAUGUUGACAUAAGUACUUUAGAAAGACUUUCUGCAAGGCUGUAUUACAAACCCUCUAGGAUUGUCCUCUUGAAUUGAUUGUAUGUGGGAGGAAGUCAAGUUCCCUUCUGUAACUAUGCAGUACUUGGUCUUAUGCAUUGCUUUAUAGGUAUGGACCAAACAGCUUAGACUUUUUCUGUAGUCUGUAAAUAAACUAAAUCAUCAAGAAGCUGUUUGGUUCAGGGCAGAGUUGCUUUCUAUCUGCUGGUCUGAGGUCAGUUUUCUUCACAGGGAGAUAAAGCAAAUUCACCUUUAAUAGAGUUUGAUCUGAUUAACUGAAUUAUAAAGGUAGGCACAACAUGUGAUUAUCAAAUGAAUCUAGUCAGACUAGAUUUCCCAUUUCAUCUUCAGAAAUGUUUAUGAAUAUUUAUAAUAAUGUGUUGUGAGUGCGCCAAGUGCACUUGAAGACUUGUACAAUUCUUUUAUGGGUGUAAAUAUACUGUCUAUCCUAUCUGACCCACGGUUACUGUAACCUGUAACGAUUGUUGUAAAAUAAACACUGUUUACUUUGCAAAUAUGUGCAAAAUAUAUAUUUGUUAACAUUAAAUGACCUUUGAAAUUGUAAAUAAAGCUUUCAUUGUUUCUAAAGGAA